GACGAACGCUGGCGGCGUGCUUAACACAUGCAAGUCGAACGGAAAGGCCUGCUUUCCCUUGUGGAUUGCGGGUACUCGAGUGGCGAACGGGUGAGUAACACGUGAGUGAUCUGCCCCCAACUUGGGUAUAAGCCUGGGAAACUGGGUCUAAUUCCCGAUAGGACUGCAGGGUGGUGCCUGUGGUGGAAAACGAUUUUCUAGUGGUUGGGGAUGAGCUCGCGGCCUAUCAGCUUGUUGGUGGGGUAAUGGCCUACCAAGGCGGCGACGGGUAGCCGGCCUGGGAGGGUGGACGGCCACAUUGGGACUGAGAUACGGCCCAGACUCCUACGGAGGCAGCAGUGGGGAAUAUUGCACAAUGGGCGGAAGCCUGAUGCAGCGACGCCGCGUGGGGGAUGACGGCCUUCGGGUUGUAAACUCCUUUCGACCGCGAGGAAGCCACCUGGUUGGAAGGGUGGUGACGGUAGUGGUAGAAGAAGCACCGGCUAACUACGUG
RNAcentral lists this ribosomal RNA (493 nucleotides) under uncultured bacterium. RNAcentral's name for it is "partial 16S ribosomal RNA". It matches the Rfam family "Bacterial small subunit ribosomal RNA", at positions 28 to 507 of the family's 1533-position model. The record is from RNAcentral.